AACCAAAGUGUUGAGUUCAGUUCAAGGUGUUGUCCCUGUUCUGGUAAUUAAGCUUUGGGACAGUGAGUGACUGGGAAGUGCACCCUGGUGACUGAAAGCAUGUUUCAUGCCACCUGUGUUUCUCAGCCUACAAAC
Molecule: small nucleolar RNA, 135 nt
Filed under: Nestor notabilis (Kea)
Lineage: Eukaryota; Metazoa; Chordata; Aves; Psittaciformes; Psittacidae
Source: RNAcentral